GGGAAAAGAAACCAACCGGGAUUGCCUUAGUAACGGCGAGUGAAGCGGCAAAAGCUCAAAUUUGAAAUCUGGUACCUUCGGUGCCCGAGUUGUAAUUUGGAGAGGGCAACUUUGGGGCCGUUCCUUGUCUAUGUUCCUUGGAACAGGACGUCAUAGAGGGUGAGAAUCCCGUGUGGCGAGGAGUGCGGUUCUUUGUAAAGUGCCUUCGAAGAGUCGAGUUGUUUGGGAAUGCAGCUCUAAGUGGGUGGUAAAUUCCAUCUAAAGCUAAAUAUUGGCGAGAGACCGAUAGCGAACAAGUACAGUGAUGGAAAGAUGAAAAGAACUUUGAAAAGAGAGUGAAAAAGUACGUGAAAUUGUUGAAAGGGAAGGGCAUUUGAUCAGACAUGGUGUUUUGUGCCCUCUGCUCCUUGUGGGUAGGGGAAUCUCGCAUUUCACUGGGCCAGCAUCAGUUUUGGUGGCAGGAUAAAUCCAUAGGAAUGUAGCUUGCCUCGGUAAGUAUUAUAGCCUGUGGGAAUACUGCCAGCUGGGACUGAGGACUGCGACGUAAGUCAAGGAUGCUGGCAUAAUGGUUAUAUGCCGCCCGUCU
Molecule: ribosomal RNA, 586 nt
Filed under: Saccharomyces cerevisiae (brewer's yeast)
Lineage: Eukaryota; Fungi; Ascomycota; Saccharomycetes; Saccharomycetales; Saccharomycetaceae
Description: eukaryotic LSU rRNA
Rfam family: Eukaryotic large subunit ribosomal RNA
Source: RNAcentral